This 271-nucleotide ribosomal RNA is filed under the name uncultured archaeon. Its description in RNAcentral is "partial 16S ribosomal RNA". It matches the Rfam family "Archaeal small subunit ribosomal RNA", at positions 477 to 747 of the family's 1478-position model. The record is from RNAcentral.
CAGCGCUGCAAGUGGGGACCGUUUUUAUUGGGCCUAAAGCGUCCGUAGCCGGUUUAAUAAAUUCUUUGUGAAGUUGUCGAGCUUAACUUGACAACGUGCAGAGAACACUGUUAAACUUGGAACUGGGAGGAGCCAAGGGUAUUUUCGGGGGAGCGGUAAAAUGCUAUAAUCCCGAGAGGACCACCUAUACCGAAGGGACUUGGCUAGAACAGAUUCGACGGUCAGGGACGAAAGCUAGGGGAGCAAACCGGAUUAGAUACCCGAGUAGUCC